GAGAUGAGCGCUGUGCUCCAACGUGCUAAUGAUCGGAUGUGCACUCUGAGGGCAAUGUCAUUCGGUUGUAUUGCUUGAGGUGGUGUGGCGGAAAGUUCUUAGCACGGGAGUUCGCAUCCUACCGACGAUGCAAAUCUUGCACGGGCGCAUGCUUAUGUUAAGGCUGGAGUUGAUCUCUAAGCUUGGGCGUGUUAUUAGGCGGAUGUUGCACUGAGAGGGCAUGUCAUUCAAUUGUAUUGCCUGACCUUGUGUGGCCGAAGCUUAUGCGCACUCCCUGUUGCGAGGAGUUUGGAUCUGGUCGAUGAUACAUUUCUAGCA
Molecule: long non-coding RNA, 318 nt
Filed under: Ricinus communis (castor bean)
Lineage: Eukaryota; Viridiplantae; Streptophyta; Magnoliopsida; Malpighiales; Euphorbiaceae
Description: long non-coding RNA (RCOM_LNC003641)
Source: RNAcentral